GGCGUGCCAAGAUGCCCUGGCACCGCAGCCCCUGCCUUACCACACCGCUCUUCGGAGGGAGGGGCAGGCAGGCAGUGCCACAGGAGCCGGGUGAAUGGAUCAGCUCAGUUAGACCCAAGAGAGCCUCAUGCUUGUCCUAGACCUCAUUUUCCCGACCCAGUGGCAUUCCAGCCACACCUGCUGAGGCCUUGGGUACCUGCGCAUCAGAGUAGCAGCUCCUCCAGCUGGCAGAGAAAGACUUGAUUUGCCACAGUUAGCGCGGCCCACUGUGGAAGCAAUCCAGGGUUCGCUCACCACCCAGCCAUGCCAGCUGAUGCUGUUUUGAUUCCCCUAACCAGGGGCAGUCACUUUUCUAGAACUUUCUGUGUCAUGAACCCUCAAGGGAGGCAGCUAAUGCAACCCUUUCCCAAAGGGCCCUCUCCUAAUACCUGCAAAUUAUAAGGACACUAUUUGACUUGAUAUUAUUUCUGGAGGAAAAUAAAAGUCAAUAAAGGCACAUAAACUGCUCUGUGAUUUGAGGCAAAAUGAAUACAAAAGCCAGGCCCUUCUGCCACACCCACUCACCACGUGAUCUUAAGAGAGUCGUUUCUAAUCUCAGAGUCUCAGUUAUCUUGCCUGUAAAAUGUGGAGGUUGAGCUACAUUAAAUCUAUGGUCA
This 656-nucleotide long non-coding RNA is filed under the name Homo sapiens (human). RNAcentral describes it as "HSALNT0245119". Lineage: Eukaryota; Metazoa; Chordata; Mammalia; Primates; Hominidae. The record is from RNAcentral.